GUUUGAUCCUGGCUCAGAGCGAACGUUAGCGGCAGGCUUAACACAUGCAAGUCGAGCGACAAAGGGGCUUCGGCCCUGAGUAGAGCGGCGGACGGGUGCGUAACACGUGGAUAAUCUGCCUCGUGGCGGGGGAUAACAGUCCGAAAGGACUGCUAAUACCGCAUGUCAGGUCGGAAACCCCGGUUUUCUGACGAAAAAGAGGGCGCCCGCAAGGGGCUCUCACCACGAGAUGAGUCCGCGGCCCAUCAGCUAGUUGGCGGUGUAAUAGACCACCAAGGCUAAGACGGGUAGCUGGUCUGAGAGGAUGACCAGCCACACUGGGACUGAGACACGGCCCAGACUCCUACGGAGGCAGCAGUGGGGAAUAUUGGACAAUGGGCGAAAGCCUGAUCCAGCCAUGCCGCGUGAGUGAUGAAGGUCUUCGGAUCGUAAAGCUCUGUGGAAGGGACGAAAAAGCCUAACCUAAUACGUUAAGGUCUUGACGGUACCUUCUUAGCAAGCACCGGCUAACUCCGUGCCAGCACG
This 525-nucleotide ribosomal RNA is filed under the name uncultured bacterium. RNAcentral describes it as "bacterial SSU rRNA". It matches the Rfam family "Bacterial small subunit ribosomal RNA", at positions 11 to 515 of the family's 1533-position model. The record is from RNAcentral.